Molecule: transfer RNA, 95 nt
Filed under: compost metagenome
Description: tRNA-Ser
Source: RNAcentral
CGGCGAGCUGGGCUGGAGUCACGUCGGCGGCCUGGAGCGCCGCGGGCCGCGUCGCUACGGCCGCGACCCGGUGUUCGGCCCCGGCCCGCUGGCCA